CCAGCGCAAGAUCUACAUCGGGAACGUCCCGGCCGACAUGCCGUCCGACCGCCUGCUCCAACAUUUCGCCAUGUACGGGGAGAUCGAGGAGGGACCGCUCGGGUACGACAAGCUGACCGGGAAGUUCCGAGGUUUUGCGCUCUUCGUGUACAAGACCGUGGAAGCGGCACAGGCUUCGCUUGUCGACCCGACGAAGAAUGUCGAUGGACAUCACUUGGUAUGUAAGCUCGCGAAUGACCCGAAAAAGGGGAAGCCCGGGGCUCUUCCGGGUCAGGCUGCUGUCACGGACAUUGGUGGUGGUGGUGACAGUAGAGUGGCUGGUACGCAGUCUUCACUGUAUGGCGGUCCAACUUUUCCAGGCUAUGGAGGAACUGCAAUUCCUGCAGCGGGUCUGAACCACCAUCAUGCUCUGAAUUCGUCAAUUGGCAUGGGUACUCCUGGCGUGUCAUCGUUAGGGGCUGGUGGCUAUGGAGGGGGGUUGCCUUCGGCUGGGAGUCAGGUGCCGUCGUUAGGGGCUGGUGGGUAUGGACGAGGCCAAGUCCCGCCUUUGGGGGCUGG
Molecule: unclassified non-coding RNA, 558 nt
Filed under: Hevea brasiliensis (rubber tree)
Lineage: Eukaryota; Viridiplantae; Streptophyta; Magnoliopsida; Malpighiales; Euphorbiaceae
Source: RNAcentral